GAGUUUGAUCGUGGCUCAGGGUGAACGCUGGCGGCGUGCCUAACACAUGCAAGUCGAACGAAGCGCCUGGCCCCGACUUCUUCGGAACGAGGAGCCUUGCGACUGAGUGGCGGACGGGUGAGUAACGCGUGGGUAACCUGCCUCACACUGGGGGAUAACAGUCAGAAAUGACUGCUAAUACCGCAUAAGCGCACGGAACCGCAUGGUUUUGUGUGAAAAACUCCGGUGGUGUGAGAUGGACCCGCGUUGGAUUAGCCAGUUGGCAGGGUAACGGCUACCAAAGCGACGAUCCAUAGCCGGCCUGAGAGGGUGAACGGCACAUUGGGACUGAGACACGGCCCAGACUCCUACGGGAGGCAGCAGU
This 364-nucleotide ribosomal RNA is filed under the name uncultured bacterium. Its description in RNAcentral is "bacterial SSU rRNA". It matches the Rfam family "Bacterial small subunit ribosomal RNA", at positions 9 to 355 of the family's 1533-position model. The record is from RNAcentral.